GGCUCAGAUUGAACGCUGGCGGCAGGCUUAACACAUGCAAGUCGAGCGGGGGAAGGUAGCUUGCUACCUGACCUAGCGGCGGACGGGUGAGUAAUGCUUAGGAAUCUGCCUAUUAGUGGGGGACAACAUUCCGAAAGGAAUGCUAAUACCGCAUACGCCCUACGGGGGAAAGCAGGGGAUCUUCGGACCUUGCGCUAAUAGAUGAGCCUAAGUCAGAUUAGCUAGUUGGUGGGGUAAAGGCCUACCAAGGCGACGAUCUGUAGCGGGUCUGAGAGGAUGAUCCGCCACACUGGGACUGAGACACGGCCCAGACUCCUACGGGAGGCAGCAGUGGGGAAUAUUGGACAAUGGGCGCAAGCCUGAUCCAGCCAUGCCGCGUGUGUGAAGAAGGCCUUUUGGUUGUAAAGCACUUUAAGCGAGGAGGAGGCUACUUGGAUUAAUACUCUAGGAUAGUGGACGUUACUCGCAGAAUAAGCACCGGCUAACUCUGUGCCAGCAGCCGCGGUAAUACAGAGGGUGCGAGCGUUAAUCGGAUUUACUGGGCGUAAAGCGUGCGUAGGCGGCUUUUUAAGUCGGAUGUGAAAUCCCUGAGCUUAACUUAGGAAUUGCAUUCGAUACUGGGAAGCUAGAGUAUGGGAGAGGAUGGUAGAAUUCCAGGUGUAGCGGUGAAAUGCG
This 675-nucleotide ribosomal RNA is filed under the name Acinetobacter oryzae. RNAcentral's name for it is "bacterial SSU rRNA". It matches the Rfam family "Bacterial small subunit ribosomal RNA", at positions 21 to 690 of the family's 1533-position model. The record is from RNAcentral. Lineage: Bacteria; Pseudomonadati; Pseudomonadota; Gammaproteobacteria; Moraxellales; Moraxellaceae.